Molecule: ribosomal RNA, 439 nt
Filed under: uncultured bacterium
Lineage: Bacteria
Description: bacterial SSU rRNA
Rfam family: Bacterial small subunit ribosomal RNA
Source: RNAcentral
CCUACGGGGGGCUGCAGUGGGGGAUAUUGCACAAUGGAGGAAACUCUGAUGCAGCAACGCCGCGUGAGGGAAGAAGGUCUUCGGAUUGUAAACCUCUGUCCUCAGGGACGAUAAUGACGGUACCUGAGGAGGAAGCUCCGGCUAACUACGUGCCAGCAGCCGCGGUAAUACGUAGGGAGCAAGCGUUGUCCGGAUUUACUGGGUGUAAAGGGUGCGUAGGCGGCCCUGCAAGUCAGGUGUGAAAACUAGGGGCUAAACUCAUAGAUGGCACUUGAAACGUGGGGGCUGAGGGGAAGAAGGGGAAGCCGAAUUCCCCGGUUUGGGGGUGAAUGGCGAAGGAUUGGGAAAGAAAACCAGUGGCGAGGGCGGCCUGCGGGCUUUAACUGACGCUGAGGCACGAAAGCGUGGGUAGCAAACAGGAUUAGAUACCCCUGUAGUC